Molecule: ribosomal RNA, 1395 nt
Filed under: uncultured bacterium
Lineage: Bacteria
Description: bacterial SSU rRNA
Rfam family: Bacterial small subunit ribosomal RNA
Source: RNAcentral
AAUUCGAUUAGAGUUUGAUCAUGGCUCAGAUUGAACGCUGGCGGCAUGCCUUACACAUGCAAGUCGAACGGCAGCAUGAUCUAGCUUGCUAGAUUGAUGGCGAGUGGCGAACGGGUGAGUAAUACAUCGGAACGUGCCCUGUAGUGGGGGAUAACUAGUCGAAAGAUUAGCUAAUACCGCAUACGACCUGAGGGUGAAAGUGGGGGACCGCAAGGCCUCAUGCUAUAGGAGCGGCCGAUGUCUGAUUAGCUAGUUGGUGAGGUAAAGGCUCACCAAGGCGACGAUCAGUAGCUGGUCUGAGAGGACGAUCAGCCACACUGGGACUGAGACACGGCCCAGACUCCUACGGGAGGCAGCAGUGGGGAAUUUUGGACAAUGGGGGCAACCCUGAUCCAGCAAUGCCGCGUGUGUGAAGAAGGCCUUCGGGUUGUAAAGCACUUUUGUCCGGAAAGAAAUCGCACUUACUAAUAUUAGGUGUGGAUGACGGUACCGGAAGAAUAAGGACCGGCUAACUACGUGCCAGCAGCCGCGGUAAUACGUAGGGUCCAAGCGUUAAUCGGAAUUACUGGGCGUAAAGCGUGCGCAGGCGGUUGUGCAAGACCGAUGUGAAAUCCCCGGGCUUAACCUGGGAAUUGCAUUGGUGACUGCACGGCUAGAGUGUGUCAGAGGGGGGUAGAAUUCCACGUGUAGCAGUGAAAUGCGUAGAGAUGUGGAGGAAUACCGAUGGCGAAGGCAGCCCCCUGGGAUAACACUGACGCUCAUGCACGAAAGCGUGGGGAGCAAACAGGAUAAGAUACCCUGGUAGUCCACGCCCUAAACGAUGUCAACUAGUUGUUGGGGAUUCAUUUCCUUAGUAACGUAGCUAACGCGUGAAGUUGACCGCCUGGGGAGUACGGUCGCAAGAUUAAAACUCAAAGAAAUUGACGGGGACCCGCACAAGCGGUGGAUGAUGUGGAUUAAUUCGAUGCAACGCGAAAAACCUUACCUACCCUUGACAUGCCACUAACGAAGCAGAGAUGCAUUAGGUGCUCGAAAGAGAAAAUGGACACAGGUGCUGCAUGGCUGUCGUCAGCUCGUGUCGUGAGAUGUUGGGUUAAGUCCCGCAACGAGCGCAACCCUUGUCUCUAGUUGCUACGAAAGGGCACUCUAGAGAGACUGCCGGUGACAAACCGGAGGAAGGUGGGGAUGACGUCAAGUCCUCAUGGCCCUUAUGGGUAGGGCUUCACACGUCAUACAAUGGUGCAUACAGAGGGUUGCCAAGCCGCGAGGUGGAGCUAAUCCCAGAAAAUGCAUCGUAGUCCGGAUCGUAGUCUGCAACUCGACUACGUGAAGCUGGAAUCGCUAGUAAUCGCGGAUCAGCAUGCCGCGGUGAAUACGUUCCCGGGUCUGUAGACA